GCGUGGUCUCCGACUGGGGAGAGGCCACGCUUCCUGACCCCGUCCCUCUGCACUAGCGUGGAUUGGGGGAGGGGCGCGCGCCCUUUCCUCCCAAGCUUCUGCGGGCUAAUGGGGAUGGAUCGGAAGAGCUGUUCCUGAACCUAGGCGUGCUUAUCGCAAGGACUCAAGCUCUAUUUUUGUGUGUCCGAUUUAUGCACUGCAGCAAAAUGGCCCUUCAGCCGCAUUUUGGGGGUUCUCGGAGGGGUUCGAAUGCUCUAGCGCUGAAAAAGAAGCCUGAGAAAAAAAGAACGACGCCCUCCCUCCCCAUUAAUUAUUUGUGGGGCUGGAGUAAGGCGGGCUGGUGCAACCGGUGCAUAUAAGGACUUGUGUGCAGGGAAGGGGAUCCGCCUCCAGACGCGGAACGAGUGGGGGAGAAGCGCACACGCAGGGCGCGCAGCCUGGCGCUUCGGCAGUGUGUAGCGGACGCGGGGUCGGGGCCACCGGUGGCCCCCGGGAAGCUGGAUGACAGGCCCAGGACGCCGGUCACUCGCUGCUUCGGGGCUGGGAAGGUUUGCCAGUAGCGGGAAAGCUAGGGGACCUGAGCUCCCUCUUGACAUCACCACACCCAAGACCUGCUCGUGCCGCAAUUCCCCACGGAAAUGACCGAAUUGAAACGAGAAGCUUAUUCUCUGGGUGCAGUAGCUAGAAUGUUUCAGGUAACUCCAAGGCCGGCUUUGGGUAAGCCACAUGAGGACAGUAUUUCUCCUUCAGGCGGCAUUUCGGAGCUGACCUAUCCAGAUUGAUGGAGAAAGUUUGGCUGGUGGAUAAGAUGUAACAUGGAAGAUGUACGCGUGAGAGCUAUUUCACUUCGACUGCUUUCUCAUUUAAACGCUGGUUGUUUACAGUGGUAAACAUGACAUUCUGUCAUCAAGAAAGUGAAGUCACUUCCCGCAGCUUCCCCGCGCUUUCCGGGGCCUUAGCCAAGCGAAAUAUCUUGGAAGAAAACGCAAAAUCUGAACUUUCCCCUACAAAUAUACCAAUAACUCAUAAAGUAUUCUUUGAAUCUCUGUUAAGACGGGGAUCUACCUGUGGCCAAAUGCAGUGAAGGGUUUUAAUUACGUAGCGUGAAGAUGAGCUUCAGAAUAAGAUUUUUUUGAAUGAAUGAAUGAAUGAAUGGAACCUAAUGCAGUUAGUUCAUCAAGACUGCUAACAUUAAAGGACUUUUAAACAGCAUUCAGUAUUUGCUGUACUGUUUUUGAUAGUAAUACUGUAUUUUUCGUAUGCACUGUGGAUCAUAGACCAUGAAACUUGAAAAUUGUUGCAACAUCUCAACAGCUGUAAUAGUUUGGGAGCUUUUAUCUUUAAAUGUUAUAUGUCAAACGUGUUAUAUUAAAAUUGCGCUCUUUGACUUCUCAUUUUCUAAUGAAACCAUCCAAGUCGGUGUAAUAAGUACUAUGCAAUAAACCAC
RNAcentral lists this long non-coding RNA (1447 nucleotides) under Marmota monax (woodchuck). The record is from RNAcentral. Lineage: Eukaryota; Metazoa; Chordata; Mammalia; Rodentia; Sciuridae.